AUGAAAUUGACCAGAAAUUCAUAUUUAUAUUAUUCAUAUAUUACAUAUAUGAAUUAACACGUCUAUAGGUCUUUUAUUCAAAAUAAUAAAUCAAUAACUGCAGUUAAAUGUCAAGAACUACCUGUGCAUCAAAUUAAUUCUGAAAUUAGUGACAAGAUUUUAGAAAUAGUUUCAGAUUUGUGGGAUGAUUUAGAAGUUUUGGCUUGGUAGGCUUAGAAGGGGCCCUAAAGGCAGUCCAUCUCUCUUUAACCCUCUCAGUAUGCCUAAUGUCAAUAACCCUCUCAGUAUGCAUAAUGUUCUCUUGGACAUUAUGCCAUCAAGCAUUGCUUACAAAUGCUACACACACUAACAAGUCUCUAUAUGAUAUAAUUAGCAAGCUUUACAACCAAAACCAGCGAAGCCAUUGAAGAAUCAAAAUAAGGGUUCAUAUGUCUUUCCUUUGGAAUAUGUGUUUUAACA
Molecule: unclassified non-coding RNA, 459 nt
Filed under: Hevea brasiliensis (rubber tree)
Lineage: Eukaryota; Viridiplantae; Streptophyta; Magnoliopsida; Malpighiales; Euphorbiaceae
Source: RNAcentral